Molecule: transfer RNA, 73 nt
Filed under: Paramuricea clavata
Lineage: Eukaryota; Metazoa; Cnidaria; Anthozoa; Malacalcyonacea; Plexauridae
Rfam family: tRNA
About the family: Transfer RNA (tRNA) molecules are approximately 80 nucleotides in length.
Source: Rfam by way of RNAcentral
CUCUCUGUAGCUUAGUUGGUUAAAGCGCUGCACCGGAAUCGCAGAGCCGCAGGUUCAAUUCCUGCCAGAGGGC